UGGAUCAUGUUGUUUAAUUCGACGAUACGCGAAGAACCUUACCAGGUCUUGACAUCCCCUGCAAAGCUAUGGAGACAUAGUGGAGGUUAUCAGGGAGACAGGUGGUGCAUGGUUGUCGUCAGCUCGUGUCGUGAGAUGUUGGGUUAAGUCCCGCAACGAGCGCAACCCUUAUUGCUAGUUACCAUCAUUAAGUUGGGGACUCUAGCGAGACUGCCAGUGAUAAACUGGAGGAAGGUGGGGAUGACGUCAAAUCAUCAUGCCCCUUAUGACCUGGGCUACAAACGUGAUACAAUGGUUGGUACAACGAGUUGCGAGUCGGUGACGGCGAGCUAAUCUCUUAAAGCCAAUCUCAGUUCGGAUUGUAGGCUGCAACUCGCCUACAUGAAGUCGGAAUCGCUAGUAAUCGCGGAUCAGCACGCCGCGGUGAAUACGUUCCCGGGCCUU
Molecule: ribosomal RNA, 444 nt
Filed under: uncultured Streptococcus sp.
Lineage: Bacteria; Bacillati; Bacillota; Bacilli; Lactobacillales; Streptococcaceae
Description: bacterial SSU rRNA
Rfam family: Bacterial small subunit ribosomal RNA
Source: RNAcentral